UAAACUUAAACGACGUUAGCCCUGCCUCUCAAACAUCCUUACGGCUCUUUAGCCGAUCCAGUGUGAAUAAGUCUCUAUGAAAAAUU
This 86-nucleotide small RNA is filed under the name Tepidibacillus decaturensis. RNAcentral's name for it is "BsrC". It matches the Rfam family "BsrC". Rfam says of the family: The 301 nucleotide sequence from Kouji Nakamura has been trimmed to a highly conserved ~85 nucleotide long core to form this family. The record is from Rfam by way of RNAcentral. Lineage: Bacteria; Bacillati; Bacillota; Bacilli; Caryophanales; Bacillaceae. RNAcentral also lists the same sequence under 1 other name.